Molecule: ribosomal RNA, 209 nt
Filed under: Staphylococcus aureus
Lineage: Bacteria; Bacillati; Bacillota; Bacilli; Caryophanales; Staphylococcaceae
Description: partial 23S ribosomal RNA
Rfam family: Bacterial large subunit ribosomal RNA
Source: RNAcentral
GGUGAAGGAACUAGGCAAAAUGGCACCGUAACUUCGGGAGAAGGUGCGCCGGCGAGGGUGAAGGACUUGCUCCGUAAGCUCAUGCCGGUCGAAGAUACCAGGCCGCUGCGACUGUUUAUUAAAAACACAGCACUCUGCAAACACGAAAGUGGACGUAUAGGGUGUGACGCCUGCCCGGUGCCGGAAGGUUAAUUGAUGGGGUUAGCGCA